CGCAUCUGUGCAUGCAGCAUAUCAAUAAGCGGAGGAAAAGAAACUAACAAGGAUUCCCUUAGUAACGGCGAGUGAAGCGGGAAGAGCUCAAAUUUGAAAUCUUCAAGGUUUUACCUUGACGAAUUGUAGUUUAAAGAAGUGUUUUCUGUUGAAGUUUUGGUAAAAGUUCUUUGGAAUAGGACACCAUAGAGGGUGAGAAUCCCGUAUUUGACCAUUAUUUUCAGCUGUGUGAUACACUUUCAAAGAGUCGGAUUGUUUGGGAAUGCAGUCCAAAAUGGGUGGUAAAUUUCAUCUAAAGCUAAAUAUUGGCGAGAGACCGAUAGCGAACAAGUACCGUGAGGGAAAGAUGAAAAGAACUUUGAAAAGAGAGUUAAACAGUACGUGAAAUUGUCAAAAGGGAAGCGUUUGACACCAGUGUUGUUUUCUCGAAAAUCAAUUAAAAAGAGUUUGAUUUUGUUGUGUAUUGACCUUAACAGCUUGCAUUUCAAUUUUCUUGCUUUUUUUAAUGCACUUUUCGUUUAACAAGUCAACAUCAGUUUCUUUUGUUGUAAAAAGGUCAUUGGAAGGUGGCUUUCUUUUCGGAGAAAGUGUUUAUAGCCUUUGACUCCUGCAAUCGGAGAGACUGAGGUCUGCAGCGUAGAUCCUUCGGGGUUAGAUACAUCUGUGCUAAGUUAUAGCUUUUUAUAGACAACUUGUUGACUAUGAUUAGUCUUGUAGCUUACUCGCUUAUGCUAUUUUACCUACGCUUAGGAUGUUGACGCGCGUGUGUGCGUG
This 774-nucleotide ribosomal RNA is filed under the name uncultured Neocallimastigales. RNAcentral's name for it is "partial large subunit ribosomal RNA". It matches the Rfam family "Eukaryotic large subunit ribosomal RNA", at positions 26 to 639 of the family's 3401-position model. Lineage: Eukaryota; Fungi; Neocallimastigomycota; Neocallimastigomycetes; Neocallimastigales. The record is from RNAcentral.